GGACUACAAGGGUUUCUAAUCCUGUUUGCUCCCCUAGCUUUCGUGCCUCAGAGUCAGUUACAGUCCAGAGAGCCGUCUUCACCACCGGCGUUCCUCUCGAUAUCAACGCAUUUCACCGCUACACCGAGAAUUCCGCUCUCCUCUCCUGCACUCUAGCCGUGUAGUUUCGAAUGCAGUUUUGCCGAUGAACAGCAAGAUUUCACAUCCGACACACACGACCUCCUACGCACCCUUUACGCCCAGUAAAUCCGAACAACGCUUGCCACCUCUGUAUUACCGCGGCGGCUGGCAC
This 292-nucleotide unclassified non-coding RNA is filed under the name uncultured Kiritimatiellota bacterium. RNAcentral's name for it is "uncultured Kiritimatiellaeota bacterium contains 16S-23S intergenic spacer region". Lineage: Bacteria; Pseudomonadati; Kiritimatiellota. The record is from RNAcentral.